UACGGAGGGUGCAAGCGUUAUCCGGAUUCACUGGGUUUAAAGGGUGCGCAGGCGGAUUUGUAAGUCAGUGGUGAAAGCCCCGGGCUCAACCUGGGAACUGCCAUUGAUACUGCAAGUCUUGAGUAUAGUUGAGGUGGGCGGAAUACAUCAUGUAGCGGUGAAAUGCUUAGAUAUGAUGUAGAACACCGAUUGCGAAGGCAGCUCGCUAAACUAUAACUGACGCUCAGGCACGAAAGCGUGGGGAUCAAACAGG
This 253-nucleotide ribosomal RNA is filed under the name uncultured bacterium. RNAcentral's name for it is "partial 16S ribosomal RNA". It matches the Rfam family "Bacterial small subunit ribosomal RNA", at positions 524 to 776 of the family's 1533-position model. The record is from RNAcentral.